This 1935-nucleotide long non-coding RNA is filed under the name Gigantopelta aegis. RNAcentral describes it as "uncharacterized LOC121378220". The record is from RNAcentral. Lineage: Eukaryota; Metazoa; Mollusca; Gastropoda; Neomphalida; Peltospiridae.
CGAGAUCCAGCUAAUGGAAAAAUGUAACAAUAUUCCUGUGAAGACUGUCAGAAUUAUCAAUGUCUGAUGUCCAAUAGCCGAUCAUUAAUCAAUCAAUGCAUUUUAUUUAUUAAGGGUUUUGAUAUAGCUUUCACUUUUAUUUGCUUGUAUGUAUGAUACUGUAUUGAACAACGCAUGUAUAACUCUACAUGGACUUUGUCUUUGUAUGUGAGGGAUUGGAAAAAAUAAAGUUAAAAAAAAAAAUAAUAAUAAUAAAACAAUUCUAGUGGUGUCACUAAACAAAGUAAACUUUAAUUUGGUAUUUUGUAGUGUCUAUUGAUGUUUUCAUUAAUACGGUGAUAAAAGUGUACUCCAUUCCAAAUUAAAACAUAUUUUUAAGUAGCAAAAAUUCCAAAUGGGGAUGUAUAUAUUUGUUUUCAUUGAUUUUCAGUAAGGAUGGAUAGGGGAAAGCAUAUACUUCAAUUGCAAACACCACUGUAGUUUAAAUAUAUUUUACAUUCCAUAUAAUAAAUUGUAAUACAUCUGUUUUAUUUCAUGUUCUAGACUAAAAAACAAAACAAAAAUGGCAACAGUAGUGUGUUAUAUCUUUGAAAGUUUUACCACGAUUUGUAUAUUCUGUCUAUAAAAAGAAUUUACAUAAAAGAACUGCUGCUAGUAAUAACAACCUUGAUUUGAAAUAAAAUCUUAUUAAAAUAUGAAUCAUGUUUUGCAUGUAUUUUGUAACCACAAAUAAGAGUAUGUUUUUGUAUAUAAUUAUAUAUUUUAUUGGGUAUGAGGUAUAACAUACAAACAUGUACACUAACAUGUAAACAAGAUCAAACUGGUACAGUACAAUGUACAAAAAAGCGGAGAACUUGAGAGAAUAACAAAACAUAAUGAUACAAAACAUACAAAAAAUAAAAGAUACUAAACAUAACCAAAAGCACUAUGAAAUAUUGCUUAAAUUUAAAUUAUACAUUGAGUAUAAAAUACUCAAUUUGUUCAUUAAGGUUACUGAUAUAUUGAUACACAUCCGAUUAAAACAAAAGGCUUCUUUUCGCCAUCUUAGAUACAUAUAAGCAAAUAUGAAUAUAAUCAAGCCUGUAGGAACUACAAUUGAAAUGUGUGUGUGGAGGAGAACAUGGGGUUCUGUGCCCCCCUCCAUCUGGUUCGUACAGGCCUGAUGAUUAGUAGUAUAAUGUAGAUACUGUCAUCACAAAAGUGGUAUGUAAAAAGAGUUGUUCAAUUCGUACAGGCCUGAUGAUUAGUAGUAUAAUGUAGAUACUGUCAUCACAAAGUGGUAUGUUAAAAGAGUUGUUCAAUUCGUACAGGCCUGAUGAUUAGUAGUAUAAUGUAGAUACUGUCAUUACAAAAGUGGUAUGUAAAAAGAGUUGUUCAAUUCGUACAGGCCUGAUGAUUAGUAGUAUAAUGUAGAUACUGUCAUCACAAAGUGGUAUGUUAAAAGAGUUGUUCAAUUCGUACAGGCCUGAUGAUUAGUAGUAUAAUGUAGAUACUGUCAUCACAAAAGUGGUAUGUAAAAAGAGUUGUUCAAUUCAUACAGGCCUGAUGAUUAGUAGUAUAAUGUAGAUACUGUCAUCACAAAAGUGGUAUGUAAAAAGAGUUGUUCAAUUCGUACAGGCCUGAUGAUUAGUAGUAUAAUGUAGAUACUGUCAUCACAAAAGUGGUAUGUAAAAAGAGUUGUUCAAUUCGUACAGGCCUGAUGAUUAGUAGUAUAAUGUAGAUACUGUCAUCACAAAAGUGGUAUGUUAAAAGAGUUGUUCAAUUCAUACAGGCCUGAUGAUUAGUAGUAUAAUGUAGAUACUGUCAUCACAAAGUGGUAUGUUAAAAGAGUUGUUCAGGAAAAAGACAAUUUCAAAUUAAAUUUUUGCACUUGACAUUUGCUGUAAUAAAUCCAUUUUUGAACAUUAUGUACACUUUUCAAACAAGUAUUAUAAG